RNAcentral lists this ribosomal RNA (429 nucleotides) under bacterium. RNAcentral's name for it is "partial 16S ribosomal RNA". It matches the Rfam family "Bacterial small subunit ribosomal RNA", at positions 355 to 776 of the family's 1533-position model. The record is from RNAcentral.
UAGGGAAUCUUCGGCAAUGGGGGCAACCCUGACCGAGCAACGCCGCGUGAGUGAAGAAGGUUUUCGGAUCGUAAAGCUCUGUUGUAAGAGAAGAACGUGUGUGAGAGUGGAAAGUUCACACAGUGACGGUAACUUACCAGAAAGGGACGGCUAACUACGUACCAGCAGCCGCGGUAAUACGUAGGUCCCGAGCGUUGUCCGGAUUUAUUGGGCGUAAAGCGAGCGCAGGCGGUUUAAUAAGUCUGAAGUUAAAGGCAGUGGCUUAACCAUUGUUCGCUUUGGAAACUGUUAAACUUGAGUGCAGAAGGGGAGAGUGGAAUUCCAUGUGUAGCGGUGAAAUGCGUAGAUAUAUGGAGGAACACCGGUGGCGAAAGCGGCUCUCUGGUCUGUAACUGACGCUGAGGCUCGAAAGCGUGGGGAGCAAACAGG